Molecule: ribosomal RNA, 253 nt
Filed under: uncultured bacterium
Lineage: Bacteria
Description: partial 16S ribosomal RNA
Rfam family: Bacterial small subunit ribosomal RNA
Source: RNAcentral
UAGGGAGGAGGCAAGCGUUAUCCGGAAUUAUUGGGCGUAAAGCGUCCGUAGGUGGUUCACCAAGUCUGCUGUCAAAGGGUGGGGCUUAACCUCAUAAAGGCAGUGGAAACUGGUGAGCUAGAGUGCGGUAGGGGUAAGGGGAAUUCCCAGUGUAGCGGUGAAAUGCGUAGAGAUUGGGAAGAACAUCGGUGGCGAAAGCGCCUUACUGGGCCUGCACUGACACUGAGGGACGAAAGCUAGGGGAGCUAAAGGG